This 1150-nucleotide long non-coding RNA is filed under the name Prunus persica (peach). RNAcentral's name for it is "long non-coding RNA (PPER_LNC001918)". Lineage: Eukaryota; Viridiplantae; Streptophyta; Magnoliopsida; Rosales; Rosaceae. The record is from RNAcentral.
UCUCUAUUUUGGAAUCAUCUCAUGCUUUUACUUUUGAGUUGGAUGGACCUUGAGAGAUGAUGUUAGGCUAUGCAUGUUCUAGCCACUAAAUAAAACCACAUGUCCUACCCAUUGUGUGUGCCAUCAACCCUUUGAAGCCAAACACUCAGCCUUUUCUUUCAUCACCCACAAUAUUUCCUUACCUUUUUCACCCUAUUUUUAGUCAUACCCUAUAACUUGGGAUAUGCCAUGGCAUGAAGACAAGGAUGAAGGUUGACCUCUACAUCAACAAAAGAGGUGGCGUGUACCGAGGAAAUAUGUGCUUUAUAAAAAUUAAAAAAAUAAUAAUUAAAAAAAAAAGAAAGAAAAAUAAAUAAUUAAAAAAAAAAAAAAGAAAAAAAAAAGUGAAGCAUAUCAAAAAUCCUGGACGCCUCUGGAGCCUUAUCACGUGAUAAAUGCCUUGGUAUGUCUCAAGUUCUAGUAUUUCCUUCCCUUUCUUUCAUAACCCAUAACCUAGCCCUUCAUUACAACCAUAGUAAAGACCUAACGGAUCUUUGGGGACUUCUUACUCGGAAGUAGAGAUAUGUACUUCAUCUAUGGUUUUUAGUAUUUGAUUUCCUUUCCAUGAGAUCUAUUUUUAGAAAUUGCCUUUUAUUCAUUUUUGGAUGCAUAUGUGUCUUAUAUUUUGAAUUCUUCACCUAACUUCAUUCACAUAUGCGGGGUAAGAGUGCAACCCUAGGUUCUGUGAGAAAAUUGAGAGUUAUCCAGUGAGGCCUAGAGUCGAGAAGAAUUUGUACACACGCCGAAUAUGGUUAUCUUUAUGUUUGAAUGCUUGGAGUUUUGGCUUUACACUUUACACUAUGGUGCAUUUUUUUUGUAGUGGCAUAACUUUAGUUUUUGAAUUGUGAUUGGCAUUCAUUGGUUAUUAUUAGUUUGUUGGAAGUAUUGCUUUAACGAAUUUGUUUUGCAAGAAGUGUUUGUGGGUGUCGUGACUGGUAAACCCUCAGGAGACACAACUCCUCCUACUAGGGACACCUAGAGGUUUAAAGGCUUGUGGCACAUGCUAAGUGCCAUCGAGAUUACCUGCGAAAGUGGUUUAAUUUAGUUAGUUUGUUUUAAUUUAUUUUUGAUUUUCAGUUUUGCUCGAGGACUAGCAAAAGAUAGGUUUGGG